This 407-nucleotide ribosomal RNA is filed under the name uncultured bacterium. Its description in RNAcentral is "partial 16S ribosomal RNA". It matches the Rfam family "Bacterial small subunit ribosomal RNA", at positions 30 to 526 of the family's 1533-position model. The record is from RNAcentral.
AUUGAACGCUAGCGGGAUGCCUUACACAUGCAAGUCGAACGGAGUGGCGAACGGGUGAGUAAUGUAUCGGAACGUGCCCAGUAGCGGGGGAUAACUACGCGAAAGCGUAGCUAAUACCGCAUACUCUUGGAGCGGCCGAUAUCGGAUUAGCUAGUUGGUGGGUUAACGGCUCAUCAAGGCGACGAUCCGUAGCCGGUUUGAGAGGACGACCAGCCAAAUUGGGACUAGGACACGGCCCAUACUCCUCCGGGGUGCAGCAGUGGGGAAUUUUGGAUAAUGGGGGAAACCCGGAUCCAGACAUCCCGGGGGUGCGAUGAAGGCCUUCGGGUUGUAAAGCACUUUUGGCGGGAAAGCGGUACCUGCAGAAUAAGCACCGGCUAACUACGGGCCAGCAGCCGCGGUAAUAC